GUGCUAGCUUUGGCAGCACAUAUACUAAAAUUAGAAUGAUACAGAGAAGAUUAGCAUGGCCCCUGUGCAAGGAUGACACACAAAAAAAGAAAGAAAAAGAUAUGUGUU
This is a small nuclear RNA of Eptesicus fuscus (big brown bat), 108 nucleotides long. The record is from RefSeq and is a predicted model, not a curated record. NCBI's taxonomy places the organism in Eukaryota, Metazoa, Chordata, Mammalia, Chiroptera, Vespertilionidae.